AUUGAACGCUGGCGGCAGGCCUAACACAUGCAAGUCGAACGGUAACAGGAAGCAGCUUGCUGCUUUGCUGACGAGUGGCGGACGGGUGAGUAAUGUCUGGGAAACUGCCUGAUGGAGGGGGAUAACUACUGGAAACGGUAGCUAAUACCUCAUAACGUCGCAAGACCAAAGAGGGGGACCUUCCGGCCUCUUGCCAUCGGAUGUGCCCAGAUGGGAUUAGCUAGUAGGUGGGGUAACGGCUCACCUAGGCGACGAUCCCUAGCUGGUCUGAGAGGAUGACCAGCCACACUGGAACUGAGACACGGUCCAGACUCCUACGGGAGGCAGCAGUGGGGAAUAUUGCACAAUGGGCGCAAGCCUGAUGCAGCCAUGCCGCGUGUAUGAAGAAGGCCUUCGGGUUGUAAAGUACUUUCAGCGGGGAGGAAGGGAGUAAAGUUAAUACCUUUGCUCAUUGACGUUACCCGCAGAAGAAGCACCGGCUAACUCCGUG
This 490-nucleotide ribosomal RNA is filed under the name uncultured bacterium. Its description in RNAcentral is "partial 16S ribosomal RNA". It matches the Rfam family "Bacterial small subunit ribosomal RNA", at positions 30 to 507 of the family's 1533-position model. The record is from RNAcentral.